CACCUGGUUGUCUAGGUCUCAGUAAGGAACUCCCCCUCACCUGGUUGUCCAGGUCUCAGUAAGGAACUCCCCCUCACCUGGUUGUCUAGGUCUCAGUAAGGAACUCCCCCUCACCUGGUUGUCUAGGUCUCAGUAAGGAACUCCCCCUCACCUGGUUGUCCAGGUCUCAGUAAGGAACUCCCCCCUCACCUGGUUGUCUAGGUCUCAGUAAGGAACUCCCCCAUCACCUGGUUGUCUAGGUCUCAGUAAGGAACUCCCCCCUCACCUGGUUGUCUAGGUCUCAGUAAGGAACUCCCCCCUCACCUGGUUGUCUAGGUCUUUAAUUGAAAGGGGAAAACCCAGCGAUCACUAGGGCCCUGCUUGGAAUCAGUUUGACCCCCUGCCCUAUUUAGUGCCCUACCAGAGCCGCUACGGUCAAGAGUAGUGCACUACAUAGAGAACAAGGUGCUAUUUGUGACUUAAACCCUACUGACUUCAUAUCGACUCUGUCCAGAAGCUACGGGCUCAUCUCGAAGGACACCGUACCCCCGACGUAGCACCCGACUCCGGGCCGUUGCGUGGUGAAGAGGACGUGAUGCAGGAUGCCUUUCACUGCGGCCCGGGAUCCGGGAACCACCUUCUAGUGUGACGUUUUAAAGCUAAUGUGAUCUCUGCUAACGGGGAACGUUGCCUUUAAGCCCACUGCGGCCCGGGAUCCGGGAACCACCUUCUAGUGUGACGUUUUAAAGCUAAUGUGAUCUCUGCUAACGGGGAACGUUGCCUUUAAGCCCACUGCGGCCCGGGAACCGGGAACCACCUUCUAGUGUGACGUUUUAAAGCUAAUGUGAUCUCUGCUAACGGGGAACGUUGCCUUUAAGCCCACUGCGGCCCGGGAUCCGGGAACCACCUUCUAGUGUGACGUUUUAAAGCUAAUGUGAUCUCUGCUAACGGGGAACGUUGCCUUUAAGCCUUUUGUCUUUUAAACAAUGUUGUUGUUGUUGGGCUUUUCUGUCUGUUCUUUGGUUUCUUAGUUUUCACCCAGAGCAUUAAUGAAUUAAACAUCUGAAUGAAAUCAGA
Long non-coding RNA from Oncorhynchus nerka (sockeye salmon), 1056 nucleotides. RefSeq lists it as uncharacterized. Lineage: Eukaryota; Metazoa; Chordata; Actinopteri; Salmoniformes; Salmonidae. The transcript is spliced from 2 exons. The record is from RefSeq and is a predicted model, not a curated record.